Molecule: ribosomal RNA, 124 nt
Filed under: Procambarus clarkii (red swamp crayfish)
Lineage: Eukaryota; Metazoa; Arthropoda; Malacostraca; Decapoda; Cambaridae
Source: RNAcentral
GCCAACGGCCAUACUGUACCACGUUGAGAACACUGCUUCUCGUCCGAUCAGCGAAGUUAAGCAACGUUGGGUUUGGUUAGUACUUGGAUGGGUGACCGCCUGGGAACACCAAAUGCUGUUGGCA